UACGGAGGAUGCGAGCGUUAUCCGGAUUUAUUGGGUUUAAAGGGUGCGUAGGCGGGCUUUUAAGUCAGCGGUAAAAAUUCGGGGCUCAACCCCGUCCGGCCGUUGAAACUGGGGGUCUUGAGUGGGCGAGAAGAAGGCGGAAUGCGUGGUGUAGCGGUGAAAUGCAUAGAUAUCACGCAGAACUCCGAUUGCGAAGGCAGCCUGCUGGACUGUAACUGACGCUGAUGCUCGAAAGUGUGGGUAUCAAACAGG
Molecule: ribosomal RNA, 252 nt
Filed under: uncultured bacterium
Lineage: Bacteria
Description: partial 16S ribosomal RNA
Rfam family: Bacterial small subunit ribosomal RNA
Source: RNAcentral